RNAcentral lists this ribosomal RNA (250 nucleotides) under uncultured prokaryote. RNAcentral describes it as "partial 16S ribosomal RNA". It matches the Rfam family "Bacterial small subunit ribosomal RNA", at positions 524 to 772 of the family's 1533-position model. The record is from RNAcentral.
UACAGAGGCCAAGAGCGUUGUUCAGAUUUACUGGGCGUAAAGGGCGCGUAGGCGGCAAGGCGUGUCAAGUGUGUAAUCUCCGGGCCCAACCCGGAAAGUGCGCUUGAAGCUACCAUGCUUUGAGUCCGGGAGGGGGAAUCGGAAUACAGGGUGUAGCGGUGAAAUGCGUAGAUACCCUGUAGAACACCGGAGGCGAAGGCGGAUUCCUUGAACGGUACUGACGCUGAGGCGCGAAAGUCGGGGGAGCAAA